UGCUUGCAUCAUGAUUUACAUUUGAGUGAGUGGCGAACUGGUGAGUAACACGUGGGAAACCUGCCCAGAAGCGGGGGAUAACACCUGGAAACAGAUGCUAAUACCGCAUAACAACUUGGACCGCAUGGUCCGAGUUUGAAAGAUGGCUUCGGCUAUCACUUUUGGAUGGUCCCGCGGCGUAUUAGCUAGAUGGUGGGGUAACGGCUCACCAUGGCAAUGAUACGUAGCCGACCUGAGAGGGUAAUCGGCCACAUUGGGACUGAGACACGGCCCAAACUCCUACGGGAGGCAGCAGUAGGGAAUCUUCCACAAUGGACGAAAGUCUGAUGGAGCAACGCCGCGUGAGUGAAGAAGGGUUUCGGCUCGUAAAACUCUGUUGUUAAAGAAGAACAUAUCUGAGAGUAACUGUUCAGGUAUUGACGGUAUUUAACCAGAAAGCCACGGCUAACUACGUGCCAGCAGCCGCGGUAAUACGUAGGUGGCAAGCGUUGUCCGGAUUUAUUGGGCGUAAAGCGAGCGCAGGCGGUUUUUUAAGUCUGAUGUGAAAGCCUUCGGCUCAACCGAAGAAGUGCAUCGGAAACUGGGAAACUUGAGUGCAGAAGAGGACAGUGGAACUCCAUGUGUAGCGGUGAAAUGCGUAGAUAUAUGGAAGAACACCAGUGGCGAAGGCGGCUGUCUGGUCUGUAACUGACGCUGAGGCUCGAAAGUAUGGGUAGCAAACAGGAUUAGAUACCCUGGUAGUCCAUACCGUAAACGAUGAAUGCUAAGUGUUGGAGGGUUUCCGCCCUUCAGUGCUGCAGCUAACGCAUUAAGCAUUCCGCCUGGGGAGUACGGCCGCAAGGCUGAAACUCAAAGGAAUUGACGGGGGCCCGCACAAGCGGUGGAGCAUGUGGUUUAAUUCGAAGCUACGCGAAGAACCUUACCAGGUCUUGACAUACUAUGCAAAUCUAAGAGAUUAGACGUUCCCUUCGGGGACAUGGAUACAGGUGGUGCAUGGUUGUCGUCAGCUCGUGUCGUGAGAUGUUGGGUUAAGUCCCGCAACGAGCGCAACCCUUAUUAUCAGUUGCCAGCAUUAAGUUGGGCACUCUGGUGAGACUGCCGGUGACAAACCGGAGGAAGGUGGGGAUGACGUCAAAUCAUCAUGCCCCUUAUGACCUGGGCUACACACGUGCUACAAUGGAUGGUACAACGAGUUGCGAACUCGCGAGAGUAAGCUAAUCUCUUAAAGCCAUUCUCAGUUCGGAUUGUAGGCUGCAACUCGCCUACAUGAAGUCGGAAUCGCUAGUAAUCGCGGAUCAGCAUGCCGCGGUGAAUACGUUCCCGGGCCUUGUACACACCGCCCGUCACACCAUGAGAGUUUGUAACACCCAAAGU
Molecule: ribosomal RNA, 1374 nt
Filed under: Lactiplantibacillus plantarum
Lineage: Bacteria; Bacillati; Bacillota; Bacilli; Lactobacillales; Lactobacillaceae
Description: bacterial SSU rRNA
Rfam family: Bacterial small subunit ribosomal RNA
Source: RNAcentral